Molecule: long non-coding RNA, 5729 nt
Filed under: Homo sapiens (human)
Lineage: Eukaryota; Metazoa; Chordata; Mammalia; Primates; Hominidae
Description: HSALNT0296370
Source: RNAcentral
UGGGCUCCUCCCGCUGCGGGCCGCCCGCCCGGACGCAAGGCACAGGGGGACGCCCCGCCGAGCCGCUGCCCACUGCACCGAGUUUUUCGGAGGCUGGGAGAGGAAAUGCCACUUGGAUUUUAAAACCGUCACCGAUACGCUAUAGCCCUGCUUUCUCUACCUCCAGUCGUUUUCUGAGGACCGGCUUGGUGGGUGCUGAUGCCUGCCUGGAAGACCUCACACCCACAGUGUCUUAGAAGAUUCUGAAAGCAGUGUGAGACCAGAAUGACCAGCAAAGGAGAAAAGAACAAGGACACAUUGCAGCCAAAAUGGAGCUAGAAUCUUGCCUCUGUCCAUCCUUCACUGGAGUUAUCCUGGAUGGAGAAGGAACCAUAUCACCUGCAAAGCCUGGAAGGGGAGCCCUGCUGUGAGUUCCAGGAACAUGCCAGUCUGCACUGCCACCUCCGUCUUCUCCAGGUUCCCACUUGGCUUGCUCGCUCACUUCCUUCUGGGUUUGACUAGAAUGCCACCAUCUUAGCAAGGACAUCCCUGCAUACCCUACCCAAAACUGUAUCCCCACACCACCAGCCUGACACUUCCUAUGCACCUUCUCUGUGUUAUUUUUCUUCUCAGCAUGUAUCACAACUAUCUACAUAUUUUUCAGUUUACCUCGUUUAUUGCCUGUCUCCGUCUUUAAUUGUUAGUUCUAUAUGGGAUCUGGGAUUUUGUUGCUGCUGUGGUUCAGUUUGUUCAUGAUUGUUUCAAAAGCACCUAGACUGUUCCUGCUACAUAGUAAAUAAUAAAUAUUGGUUGAAUAAAUAAAUGAAUGAAUAGCAUUAGUAGUGGUGUUUGUGUGUUUGUUCAUUUUGUAUGGCAAGAAUUGUGAAAUAAAGCAGAAGGAAGGAAGGUAGGUAGGUAGGCAGGUAGUGAGUUGCUCAUCACAGUAGUGUUCCCAGAAGUCUGGAUUUCCAUUCAUCAAAGAAGCUAUCGAGUGUGAGUUCUGUUGGAAGAGAGGUUGGACUAGAUGAUUUUGUAGGUAUCACCAAAUGUCUGACUGCUGCAACAGCUUGAGUCUGCUGGGGUCACACAAGAAUCACUAGAGCCCUGCAACCCCCCUGCUCUUUGGGUCAGUACUUGAACCUGCCUGAGAGGGGAUCUGCUUAAAAGCAGCAGCUUGUCUCCGGAUCCUGAAGCAAGGAGGUUUUGCAUCUCUCUGGCCUUGAAGAUCUCCAUCCCGUGGAGAGUCUGACUCUACAGAGCGGGCAGAGAGUAGGAAGAAGGAACCUAGACGAUCUCUGGCUGGGCCAAGAGAGAAAUUAGCAAGGCCAGCUGACAAACUGGGCCUCCUGCAUGGGGCUGAGAAGUGGGUAAGGGUUGGGAGGGAGAAGGGACAUAACCAGGGAUAAGGCAAGACAAGAAGUCUAAUCAGGGACUGAGUCGGUUAGAAGUUUAAGGAUUGUUCCUAAAUGGUUAUCAGCUCCAUCUGUUGGACAGCAGGCUGGUGGCAGGGGUGUGGGUGACGUGUACCACAUCACCCAGGAGAUCUCCAUCAGAAGGAGAUAGCCCUGGAACUUAGGAAUCUUUACGGGGAGGCGGGUGAUGAAAAAAGCAGGCCCCGGAGAGCGGGGACACUGACAGUGAGGGGAGACCUAGCAACCCUACUGCCAGGAGUGCAUUCCAAAGAAAUAGCCACAAAUGUGAGCACAGAUGUAUGCACAGGAAUGUCCACAGUGACACUAUUCAUAAUGCGUCCAAACAUGAAGCCAUCUAAAUGUCUGACAAAAGACAGUGGUAAAAUAAAUUACGGCAUUUUACAGGCACUAAAGUUGAUGUAGAGACAUAGUUCAUGACAGGGAGAGAUGACCAUGAUUUAUUGCUAAGUAAAAAGAACAGUUACGAAAUAAAAUGCACAUAUCCAAGCCUAGAAGGACAGUCACCAACAUACUAAUCAGUCUUGGGGGUAACAUUUUUUAAAAUGAUUUUUAUUUUCUCUUUGUUCUUUUCUACCUUUUCCAAGUUUUCCCCAAUAAGUAUGCUUUGACCUUGUAAGAUAUGAUAAAUAUCAUCUUUUAAAGUGUGGUGUUUUAGGUUCUCAAAGCAGAAAAUAAAGUCCAUUUCAUUUUAAAUAGGAUACAGUGAAAUCGCUGACUACAGGUCCUCUUUCGCUUAGUUCUCGUUUUCUUUAGUAUUCUAGGGCAGGGGAGGCUUUCUUAGUGGCAAAUUACUACUUUCAGGGGGAGCAUUAAAUAAAUAAGAAAGUAAAGGUUGUAAAUGUUGUUGGUAUUUGAUUUGGAAACAGUAUGAGUUAAAAUAAGAUAUAGGAUGAGGAUGCAUCCUGGCACAACAGAAAAAGCACUGGGCUGAGAGUCAGUCCUGGGUUACAGAGCUAGAACCGCAAACUCUCCAAGGAACAAACUCAGUACUCCCUCUUCAAGGGGAACCUAACCCUAUCCAUAACCUGAAUUCCACCUACAAUAUCUUUCUGGCUCAGCCACCAGCUUUGUGAUUCUGCCAUCUCCUUUCUGAGGGCCAGUGAAACAAAGGAGUCAAGGCAAAGGGGAUCUCCAAGGUUCUUUACCCAGCACAGAUUCCAUGAUGCCCAAGGGAGAAGAAAAAAGAUGCCAAAAAAGCCUCCUUUACGGCUUGACCUCGGACUGUCCUGGCCGCAUAGUUUACUGAGGGUCUAGACUUUUCUCCCUGGUUCCUGCUACAGAUCUUGCUGUAGAUGGGUGAUGGUGCCAUAGCUUGAUCUUGGGGACCCUGGGAUGUGGCAUCUUCUGCCAGUCCUGUUCUGUUGUGUCUCCCCCAGUCCUGGCCAAAGGCAGUGGCUUCUGUUGCUGCUCCCGUCAAGAAGUGCCUUCCUAUCCUGCCCAUCUGCUCACAUUUCUAUCACUGCAGCUCACAGACUUCGGUUGUCUUUCACACCCCAGGUAAGAUCAACUGCUAAAACCAACAAUGCCUUGACAUCCUUCUACAUGAAUCCACAUCUUCCUAACAUCUAUUUUGGAAUGCUCAGGUCCCUCAGGAGUCAGAAGAGCAGGGACACUGGGUGAGGCCAGGUGAAGAGGGCCUCAAGGGAGCUGAAGAUGAGCACAGGCUUCAGGGACUGUCAAAAGAGUCUUGCGAUCAGCCACAGACAGACAUGGCCACUGGCACCCUCCUCCAUGGAGAUGCCUCAGACACUCUAUUUGGCCUUUCUACCUUUCCAUUCAGUCAUUCAUUUUUGUAAAAUGUACAGUAAUCGAAAACAUUUAUUACAGUGCUGCUAUGGGCCUAGCUCCAUCUGGGCCCAUUACACACAUUUUCUUUAAUUAUCCCAAUGACCCUGCAAGGUAGGUAAUCUUCAUUUUAUAAAGAAGAGGACAGUUUCAGAGAGGUCAAGAAACCUGCCCAAGAUCACGUUGCUGGGUAGUGAUAAAGCCAAAACUUUAAUUUAGGUCUGAUUGCCUCAUGAAUCUAUGCUCUUUGCACUUUCUGCUGAAACUGACCUCCCUCAACCUUACCAUCUAGACAGAAAUGCAGAUGGCGGACACAAGAGGCACUUGCAAACCAGGGACACCCAGAGUCAAGUGGUUGCUUUCUAUGGUUUACGGCUGUCCUCCUUGGGAAGAACCAUCCCAAAAGCCAUGCGCACACGGGGCUCCUGAGGACAUCAUUUCAGCUUGUGUCAGGAAAGUGCUUAGCAGUGGAUCAAUUGCCAGUCUUCUGGUCAACCUAAUGAGCAAAAUAAAGUCAGCCUGAAUUGUCCAUCAUGGCCUAAUCAUCACGGAGUGAUUGAUCAACACAAAUGAUGACUCCAAUCCACUGGUUCUCAACCAGGGGCAGAUUUUGCCCCCAGGAAACAUUUGGCAACGUCUAAAGAUAUUUUGAGUUGUCACAACUUGGGGAGUGCUACUGUCAUCUAGUGGGUAGAGGUCAGGGAUGCUGCUCAACAUUCUACAAUGCACAGAACAGCCUCCCUGGUGCCCACAGCCACAGAGAAUUAUCUGGCCCCAGGUGUUUUAGUGCAGAGGUCGAGAAACCCUGCUCCAAGCAUUCGAUCAAGAGGGACUUGACCCAGCUGGAGACUAACCAAAUACCAGAAAGAGCAGCUGUUUUAUUUCUGGGAAAUUGUUGCUAGGGUUAAACUGUAUAGAUUUAGCCACGACUGAAGGUGUCCACAUCCUGUUAAGCUAGAUGGUGGGCAUUGUGUAUUUUUUUCCAGCUGCCCUUAUUCAAGAGUGGCCCCUGGAAUUUACUUAGCCUUUCUUUGGGUUAAAAUCAGGAAUGGAAAAUUUAACCUCUAAGAGGAAAACAAACAGAAAAUGAAAAGUAGGCGUAAUAAUGGAAGCUUAGGUGCAAAUUUUAGUGCAGGGUAUUCCUUCCUGUAAGGUUACUCACCCCACUCCUCCAGGCCACAGAUAUGCAUGCACAGCCUGCCCACAUGUAACUGUGCAGAGGGAGAGCUUAGAUUUGAAUCCAGAAGAAUGGAAUUCAAACCCCAACUCUACUGAUAACCAAUCUUGAGCAAAUCACUUGCCUUCUUGAAGUUUCAGUUCCUCUGUCAGUAACAGAGGCCAUACCCACACAUCCCCGAGGGCUGUGGAUUUUGCAUACAGUAAUUUACAUAAAAGCACUGGCAAAACUACAAAGUGUGCCAUAACUGCUCACCUGACGACAAUCACACACACAGAGGGCUUCUCCUCCCUGGGGCACGUGGGUUCUCUUUAUUAGAUUUUUCCACAUUAUCACUGCCUAUGUAAAGCUUCUCCUGGGUGAUAUUCUAUUUCUUAUGCUGCACUGGAGAAAUAUUCUCUAUAUCUUGAAAUGGAAACGCUGAACCCAACUUAUUUUACUCAUGACCUAAAUGAGAUUAUUGCUUCCAAGAGGACAAUAUAUCGCACUAAAAUGAGAAUGCUCAGGAUGAUUAGGUGGAGAGCAUUUAUGAUGCAGCUUUCCAUUCUCCAUGUGAUGAAAACUUGACAUGACCCAAUGCUUUAUUGUCCUACAGUAAUUCCUGUCACUUUUAUCCAGACUCAUAUUGCUCUUUAAUUCUAGCCUAUUUUCAUCUUUCCUUAACAGGACAUCAGAUCUUGGCUUUCACAAUCAACACAGUUUCAAAGGUUAUUUAUAAAAUAGUUUAAAAUAAAAUAUGCCAUGCUUUGAUUACAACCAGCGCUUCUGGUAUGAAUUAGAGAGGUGGCCUGUACACAUAUGUGUUGUUUAUUAGCUUUUAUCUGAUGAUCUCAAAGCACUGACAUCAAUUCUAACACACAUGGUUUCUUAUAAUUACCACCCCCCUACACACACACCCAUUUAUGCAGGGCAGAAUUAUUUUGAGGACAAAUGAGCUACGUAUUGUGAUGUGCUGUGAGUUUCUGAGAAUAGAAACUCCUAUGACUAAACUCUCCAUGAACAGAGCAAAUCAGAGAAUAACAGCAAAUGCUUUUAUCGCUCAGGCAGCUCAAUCACAUUUGGUUUUCCAUUUCACUCUAGUAAGAGGGUUAUCGGCCUUGAGGAUACCCCCCAAGAAAUGUUUGUGAUUUUUGUUUUAAGCUCAGCCCCUGUACCAUCUGCUCACUGAGGCCAACUUCCCAUCCCAGCUGUGUGGCUGCCUAAGUCAGCCUGGUGCUAUGGGAUGGGAACAGGCAGAGGUGGGGAGAGGCUUACAGACUCAUUUUCAAACAGAGAUGGAAAACUGGGAGUCAGAAGAGGUGGAGGUAUAUAUGGACCCAGCCAUCCGACUUCUGAUCCUAUUGUUCUUUUUUUUU